Molecule: ribosomal RNA, 494 nt
Filed under: uncultured bacterium
Lineage: Bacteria
Description: partial 16S ribosomal RNA
Rfam family: Bacterial small subunit ribosomal RNA
Source: RNAcentral
GACGAACGCUGGCGGCGCGCUUAACACAUGCAAGUCGAACGGAAAGGCCUGCUUUCCCUUGUGGAUUGCGGGUACUCGAGUGGCGAACGGGUGAGUAACACGUGAGUGAUCUGCCCCCAACUUGGGUAUAAGCCUGGGAAACUGGGUCUAAUUCCCGAUAGGACUGCAGGGUGGUGCCUGUGGUGGAAAACGAUUUUCUAGUGGUUGGGGAUGAGCUCGCGGCCUAUCAGCUUGUUGGUGGGGUAAUGGCCUACCAAGGCGGCGACGGGUAGCCGGCCUGAGAGGGUGGACGGCCACAUUGGGACUGAGAUACGGCCCAGACGCCUACGGGAGGCAGCAGUGGGGAAUAUUGCACAAGGGGCGGAAGCCUGAUGCAGCGACGCCGCGUGGGGGAUGACGGCCUUCGGGUUGUAAACUCCUUUCGACCGCGAGGAAGCCACCUGGUUGGAAGGGUGGUGACGGUAGUGGUAGAAGAAGCACCGGCUAACUACGUG